AGAGGGAGAACAAUGGAGGACUCGUAAUAGAUAGAGAAGGGGGGAAGUUAUGGACGAGGCAGAGGUUGUAGUUCCAAGUAAGAGAAAUGAUGAUGGAGUGGAAGCAGUUGUCAAACUUCCGGUGUAUUGAUGUUUUGCAGAAAGGACCUUCCUGACUAACAAUUGCAUCUGUCUGCUCGUGUACACCGGAUCGUCUUGUUUAACUACUAUUUACCAAACCGGACUUUCAUAUAUAACGAUGAUAUAUUCAUGGGCACAUUUGAUCUCAGUACAAUGUAUCGCUUGUUUAAAUGCUAUGGCUUGUAUGUAUUUCAAAUGAAAUUAUGUAUUUGAAUCCGUGGAAUGAAAU
This 349-nucleotide long non-coding RNA is filed under the name Setaria viridis. RNAcentral describes it as "long non-coding RNA (SVIR_LNC010432)". The record is from RNAcentral. Lineage: Eukaryota; Viridiplantae; Streptophyta; Magnoliopsida; Poales; Poaceae.